This 1514-nucleotide ribosomal RNA is filed under the name human metagenome. RNAcentral's name for it is "bacterial LSU rRNA". It matches the Rfam family "Bacterial large subunit ribosomal RNA", at positions 437 to 1979 of the family's 2925-position model. The record is from RNAcentral.
UGGGAAGUCGGGUGGACCACCAUCCAAGCCUAAAUACUACUCAGUGACCGAUAGCGUAUAGUACCGUGAGGGAAAGGUGAAAAGAACCCCGGGAGGGGAGUGAAAGAGAACCUGAAACCCUAUGUUUACAAGCAGAGGGAGCGAAAGCGACCUCGUACUUUUUGUAGAACGGGCCGGCGAGUUACUGUGUGCAGCGAGGUUAAGGCGUAGAGCGCCGGAGCCGAAGCGAGAGCGAGUCUGAAGAGGGCGAAAGUUGUGCGCAGUAGACCCGAAACCGGGUGACCUAUCCAUGGACAGGAUGAAGCGGCGGUAAGACGCCGUGGAGGUCCGAACCACACGUAUGUUGAAAAAUGCGGGGAUGAGCUGUGGAUAGCGGAGAAAUUCCAAUCGAACUCGGAGAUAGCUGGUUCUCCCCGAAAUAGCUUUAGGGCUAGCCUCGUUUUAAAUUACCGGGGGUAGAGCACUGAAUGGGCUAGGGGGCCACAAAGCUUACCGAACCCUAUCAAACUUCGAAUACCGGAUAAUUGAUGAACGGGAGUCAGACGGCGGGAGAUAAGUUUCGUCGUCAAAAGGGAAACAGCCCAGAUCUACGACUAAGGUCCCGAAAUCACAGUUAAGUGGAAAAGGAUGUGCAGUUGCACAGACAACCAGGAUGUUGGCUUAGAAGCAGCCACUCAUUUAAAGAGUGCGUAAUAGCUCACUGGUCGAGUGAUUGUGCGCCGAAAAUGUACCGGGGCUAAACUGUGUACCGAAGUCUAGGGAUCGUGAUAAACGAUCGGUAGGGGAGCAACGUGUGCGGGCUGAAGCCGAAGCGUAAGCGACGGUGGACUGCACGGGAGAGAGAAUGCCGGCAUGAGUAGCGAGAGCAAAGUGAGAAUCUUUGCCGUCGAAAGCCUAAGGUUUCCUGAGGAAGGCUCGUCCUCUCAGGGUAAGUCAGGACCUAAGCCGAGGACAAAAGUCGUAGGCGAUGGACAACUGGUUGAUAUUCCAGUACCACCUUUAGCGUUUGACUGAAGCAGUGACACAGAAGGAUAGACAGAGCGCGUGACUGGUAGAGCGCGUCCAAGCGAUGAGGGAGUUGAUUAGUGAAGUACGGUCAACAAUCCUGGGUCGUGAUGGGGACUGAAAAUAAGUAGGGAAGCUGUUGAAUUCACGCUGGCGAGAAAAGCUGCUAAGGAGCGAAAGGGUGCCUGUACCGCAAACCGACACAGGUAGGCGAGGAGAGAAUCCUAAGACGAGCGGGAGAACCCAUGUUAAGGAACUCGGCAAAAUGACCCUGUAACUUCGGGAUAAAGGGAGCCACGAGAGUGGCCGCAGAGAAUAGGCCCAAGCGACUGUUUACCAAAAACACAGGUCUGUGCGAAGUAGAGAUACGACGUAUACGGGCUGACGCCUGCCCAGUGCCGGAAGGUUAAGGGGAAGUGUUAGGGCAACCAAAGCACGGAACUUAAGCCCCGGUGAACGGCGGCCGUAACUAUAACGGUCCUAAGGUAGCGAAAUUCCUUGUCGGGUAA